UUCUCUUAGUGGUGGAUCACUCGGCUCAUGCGCCAAUGAAGAACGCAGCUAGCUGUGAGAAUUAAUGUGAAUUGCAGUACACAUUGAUCAUCGACACUUCUAAUGCACUUGCUGCCCCAGGUUCCUCCUGGGGCUAUGCCUGUCUGAGCAUGG
Ribosomal RNA from Amazona collaria (yellow-billed parrot), 153 nucleotides. It matches the Rfam family "5.8S ribosomal RNA". Rfam says of the family: 5.8S ribosomal RNA (5.8S rRNA) is a component of the large subunit of the eukaryotic ribosome. It is transcribed by RNA polymerase I as part of the 45S precursor that also contains 18S and 28S rRNA. The record is from Ensembl. NCBI's taxonomy places the organism in Eukaryota, Metazoa, Chordata, Aves, Psittaciformes, Psittacidae.